This 253-nucleotide ribosomal RNA is filed under the name uncultured bacterium. RNAcentral describes it as "partial 16S ribosomal RNA". It matches the Rfam family "Bacterial small subunit ribosomal RNA", at positions 524 to 776 of the family's 1533-position model. The record is from RNAcentral.
UACAGAGGUCUCAAGCGUUGUUCGGAUUCAUUGGGCGUAAAGGGUGCGUAGGCGGCGCGGUAAGUCGGGUGUGAAAUCUCGGAGCUUAACUCCGAAACUGCAUUCGAUACUGCCGUGCUUGAGGACUGGAGAGGAGACUGGAAUUUACGGUGUAGCGGUGAAAUGCGUAGAUAUCGGGAGGAACACCGGUGGCGAAGGCGGCCUUCUGGACGGUGACUGACGCUGAGGCGCGAAAGCGUGGGGAGCAAACGGG